UACGGAGGGGGCUAGCGUUGUUCGGAAUUACUGGGCGUAAAGCGCACGUAGGCGGCUUUGUAAGUUAGAGGUGAAAGCCCGGGGCUCAACCCCGGAAUAGCCUUUAAGACUGCAUCGCUUGAACGUCGGAGAGGUGAGUGGAAUUCCGAGUGUAGAGGUGAAAUUCGUAGAUAUUCGGAAGAACACCAGUGGCGAAGGCGGCUCACCGGACGACUGUUGACGCUGAGGUGCGAAAGCGUGGGGAGCAAACAGG
Molecule: ribosomal RNA, 253 nt
Filed under: uncultured bacterium
Lineage: Bacteria
Description: partial 16S ribosomal RNA
Rfam family: Bacterial small subunit ribosomal RNA
Source: RNAcentral